AAAAAAAACAACAUUUUUUAAAAAAUGUAAGCUUUAUUCGUUAUUAUUAUUAUUAUUUAUAUGUCAUAUUUUUGUGUUUAAAAGGGAAGUGUCAUUAUUCGGCCGAUUAAAAAGUUCCUUAAAUAGAAUUACAUAUGUGGAUUAUGACACAUUUCGAACAAAUGUGGCACGACUUAAAGUAUGAGACAAACAUAAACAAAUUUAGCAUUGACACACACACGCACUUAUUCACAGAAUCUAAACGAGUGCACAUAUGCCUUACAGAUGAUACAUUGUCACUCUUAAUAGUAAGAAUAAAUGAUUAUAUAUUCAUUAAAUUAUACAAAACUGGAAAGUUAAACAUUUUUGAUGGAACGUGUUUUAAAUUUUGUAUCAGCUUUUAUGAUAUACAGAAGUUUAAAUAAGAAACAUCAUUUUUUUAAAGUUAUUUUUAUGUUCAUUGGUAAUAGCGCGACACGUCUUGGCUGAGCGAAUAAGAACAGAUAACUCUCAGAAUUUGUGUUUCUUGUGAGAAAAUGCACUACUGAUAUCUUUUAUUCUUCAAUUUAAUUGUUUAAGUUACUUAUUCUCUUGUUAAUAAUUAAACAUAGUGCACUAUAACUGUUUAAACACCAUAUAUAUAUAGUAUGCUUAAACUUCCUUUUAGAUUUAGAAAAUUGGUGAAGGAAGCCAAAAAUUCUCGUUCACUUUUUUACAAUUCGCUAGAUUUUUAUGUUUAUACAUUAAAACAUUAAAUUAAAAAUAAGUGUUCUGAAUGUUAGCAGUUGGUUCCAAUAACCGACUUAGAGAAAAAAUGUUCGUGAUUUACAAGGAUAUUUUUGUCGUUAUCAGUCACAACAAUAUUUAUCGCGGGUCAGUUCCCUGUUAAGAGAAAGGACAGAUAAUUUCACACCGAUGACGUCACCUACAGUAAUGAAAGUAAAAUGCAAACAGGAUGUCUGCAGCCUUAAUAUCCUACUAGUCAACAUUUCGAUUAGGAGUCCGACUGAAUAAUUAUUGUUUAAGUUAGUCAAUGACCUCGUUAAACUAACAAUUCCUAUAUUUUAAUUAUUUUAAAGUAAAAUCUAUUCUUUUAAGCCCAUAAUGACCUAUUAACGAGGCGAUGCAGAUGAGGUCACAUUAACGUUAACUUUUCUUCUUUUUUUAUUCUUUUAUAAAAAUUAUCAAUUGAUUUUAGUUUAAUUUUUCGUAUUUUCUCUUCUUUUUUAAUAAAUUUCUUAUCUGCCAUCAAAGAUAUUUGUUAUCUAGUUGAAAAAUGUCAAAG
This 1264-nucleotide long non-coding RNA is filed under the name Androctonus crassicauda. The record is from RNAcentral. Lineage: Eukaryota; Metazoa; Arthropoda; Arachnida; Scorpiones; Buthidae.